Chelonoidis abingdonii (Abingdon island giant tortoise) is the source of this 1097-nucleotide non-coding RNA. The record is from RefSeq and is a predicted model, not a curated record. Lineage: Eukaryota; Metazoa; Chordata; Testudines; Testudinidae.
UUGCAAUUAUUACUGUUAACUUUUUGGGAGAGGAACUUUUUGUCUACUUCUUCUGUUUGUACAGCACCUAGCACAACACAGCCAUGACCUUAAAACAGUGACGAUAAAUAAACAGAAUAACUAGCAGGAAAUCGUGACCGUUUGGUGAGAAGGGCUCGAUCUCAGCUGGGAACAGGCAAUGCAGCAUCAUUUUCACUCCAGCACAAACUGCCUAUUCUUGACGACUCGACCAAAGGAAGCAGAGGCAGAGUGACUCCUAGCAAAGCACAUCUGCAAGGCUGUAUUUCACAGGAAGUAAUGCAGCUCCUCUGCAGAUAAGUUUCACCGAAGAACAAAGAAUAAUUUUGUUCAAUGCUUCAAGAGUGGUGCAUUGAAACCUGGACCUAGCUUUUCAGUUCCUGAAAACAAGACUCAGAACUAAAACUUAACUCCCCCUUCCCCAAAUUAAGCACUAUGGCUUUCAAACCAGCCUCCAUUUUCCAUGUGAGGAAAGCUUAAAAAAUGCCCAUUGAUCUCCAUCCCUGUUUAGAUGUUUUAUUAGACUAUUUUGCCAAAUACGCACAAAAGUUAGCACUUUUGAGAUAAACAGUAGAGCAAUAACAGCUUAACCUGUUGUGUAAAAUGCAGCCCCCAAUGCAGAUCUGCUGUUAAGGUGAAGUGACAAAAUAUUUAUGACUAAGAACAAGAUAAGAGGCAUAAUAAUGGAUUAGCAGACAGUAUUGUCAUUAAUUGCAAAUAUAUCCUGAUCUUAAAUCUUUCCUGUAUGCCAUGAAUUUCAGAGGCAUGCUAUCCACCACAGUUGGUUUUGUAGCAGCUAAACAUUUAACACGAGAUAGUGAGGUGUGUUUCUGAAUGAUACAAGCAGCAUUUAUUCAGGAGUUAGAUGUAGUUAGGAGCCAAAAAUAUCAUCAUAUUAAAAACAAAUGGCAGAGCAAAGAUUACCCUCAGUGCCCCCUCUUUUAGCUUGUGCAGCACAUUCUGAUCAAAGCAGAAGAGAGGCUGUCAAGUACUCUGUUAUAGUUUAAUUUUCUAUUUAAUCUCAAUUGUUUGCAAUGCCCUUGCCCUCCUUUAAAAGCUGGAAAUUAUAAUUCCUUUCU